Gallus gallus (chicken) is the source of this 869-nucleotide long non-coding RNA. Lineage: Eukaryota; Metazoa; Chordata; Aves; Galliformes; Phasianidae. The record is from Ensembl.
UUCCAAGGUCCGAAGCUCAGCUGGUGUGAACUGGCCUCAGCCCCUCUCACAUGGCUUUCCAUUCUCAACGUGACCUCUGUGCUUGGAUGUGAGAGCUGCCCUCAGAAAGCUGGCUGUCAGCUGACAGCCCACUCUGCAUGCUGCGGGCAAGGAUCAGCCCCUCUCAAGCAAUAUAAGCCCCAGGGAGAUCUAGGUGAGGACCAGCUGGCCAUCUGGAGCUGCGUGCUUCGUUUGGCGUACUUGGUGAGGAGUAAUGGAGCUGGAGCACGAGAGAUGUGGCAAUCACUGGCAAGUGCUGUAGCUGGACGAGGCCCUUGGCUCUCCCUGCUGCUGCUUCUGGAGGAUCUGCACAUCGCUACAGCACACCUCCCGUGUCCUGCACUGGGAAGUGAGAAGAAACUCAGGUCACUUGGAGCAUCCAGGCAUGAACACAAUCACAGAAUUUCCAAAGUAUGUCACAGGACCAUUUAUUUCUAACCUCAAAGUUAAAACAUUUUCUGUGAGUGACUUUCUUUUUCCACCUUCAUUUGCCCUUUGUUCAUUGCUGCCUUUGGUGUGAAUGGGUCUCUUUGUCAAUAGCCUGUUCUUUUCCAUUUUUCCGUUGUUUCACACAGUGAUGAAGACCUUAGGGUUUGCCUUUUUCCUUUCUUCUCACUCCUCUAAUGUUCUCGUAUCUUUUUUUCCUGAUCACACUGUAGAUGGGUACAAAGUUUGCUCCAGCAAACUCAGUUCUGCCCAGUGAGUGCACGAGGUGAUGGCGUGCUGUCUGUGCCGCGGUAGGUUUGGCUAUUGUCUAGCAGAGUGUCACUCAGAAAGGAUUUUGACACCAAAUUUUGGUAAAAAAAGAAAUGUAAGAUGGUGACUUGGAU